CCCUUAGAUGUCCUGGGCCGCACGCGCGUUACACUGAUGCAUUCAACGAGCUUAUAACCUUGGCCGAGAGGCCUGGGCAAUCUUGUUAACGUGCAUCGUGAUAGGGAUAGAUUAUUGAAAUUAUUAAUCUUGAACGAGGAAUUCCUAGUAAACGCAGAUCAUCAAUCUGCAUUGAUUACGUCCCUGCCCUUUGUACACACCGCCCGUCGCUACUACUGAUUGGAUGUUUAAGCGAGGUUCUCGAACUGCUAGCGACUUAGCUUCGGUGAGGUCGCAGUGUGGGAAGUGAACCUAGCUUUGGUGUCUAGAGGAAGUAAAAGUCGUAACA
This 328-nucleotide ribosomal RNA is filed under the name uncultured eukaryote. Its description in RNAcentral is "partial 18S ribosomal RNA". It matches the Rfam family "Eukaryotic small subunit ribosomal RNA", at positions 1470 to 1796 of the family's 1831-position model. The record is from RNAcentral.